AUCUAAGGGGCAUUCCGAUGGAGCAGGCAGGCUGCGCCCAGAAAGGUGGGGAGGGGUUGGAAGCAGAUGGGCAGGCACGGGCGAGCGUGCACAGCCUGAAAAAGUUUUCAUGAUGGUUCCAGCCUAAUUUCCCAACGCUGGUCUUGGGCGCCACAAAACCUGAGCGGCCCGACCGGAGCCGGGUGCCAGCCUCAGGGCCGCCGGGCCCGGCGCAGCGUCCGGAAUUCCUGCGAUGUCUGGGGCGCGGCGGUGGCUCCUCCCCGCCCCCACCACGGCCUCCGCCGGCAUUUUCCGGCUAGGAGGCCCGCCAGCCCUUCGAAGAACCGGCUCCACGCGCGGCCGGUCGCGGCCGGCGCGCUUCCCGCGGAGAGGCGAGCGCGGCGCCCGGACCGCGUGUUAUAGUUUUGCCGCUGGACUCUUCCCUCCCUUCCCCCACCCCAUCAGGAUGAUAUGAGACUUGAAAGAAGACGAUGCAUACAGG
RNAcentral lists this small RNA (481 nucleotides) under Pongo abelii (Sumatran orangutan). Its description in RNAcentral is "processed transcript". Lineage: Eukaryota; Metazoa; Chordata; Mammalia; Primates; Hominidae. The record is from RNAcentral.